AAAUUUUCAACGAUGGAUAUCUUGGUUCCCAUAACGAUGAAGAACGCAGCGAAAUGCGAUACGCAAUGCGAAUUGCAAAAUUCCGCGAGUCAUCAGAUCUUCGAACGCAAACUGCGCCGGGGGGAUAUCCCCCCAGCAUGCUUGUUUCAGUGUGUUAA
RNAcentral lists this ribosomal RNA (158 nucleotides) under uncultured Oligohymenophorea. RNAcentral describes it as "5.8S ribosomal RNA". It matches the Rfam family "5.8S ribosomal RNA". From Rfam's summary of the family: 5.8S ribosomal RNA (5.8S rRNA) is a component of the large subunit of the eukaryotic ribosome. Lineage: Eukaryota; Ciliophora; Oligohymenophorea. The record is from RNAcentral.